GACGAACGCUGGCGGCGUGCUUAACACAUGCAAGUCGAACGGGAUUUAGUAAACGGAAGCCUCGGUGGAAGAUUACUAAUGAGAGUGGCGAACGGGUGAGUAACGCGUGAGCAACCUGCCUAUGACAGUGGGAUAGCCUCGGGAAACCGGGAUUAAUACCGCAUAAAAUCGUAGAAACACAUGUUUCAACGGUCAAAGAUUUAUCGGUCAUAGAUGGGCUCGCGUCUGAUUAGCUAGUUGGUGAGAUAACAGCCCACCAAGGCGACGAUCAGUAGCCGGUCUGAGAGGAUGAACGGCCACAUUGGAACUGAGACACGGUCCAAACUCCUACGGGAGGCAGCAGUGGGGAAUAUUGCACAAUGGGGGAAACCCUGAUGCAGCGACGCCGCGUGAACGAAGAAGGUAUUCGCAUCGUAAAGUUCUGUCCUAUGGGAAGAUAAUGACAGUACCAUAGAAGAAAGCUCCGGCUAAAUACGU
Molecule: ribosomal RNA, 477 nt
Filed under: uncultured bacterium
Lineage: Bacteria
Description: partial 16S ribosomal RNA
Rfam family: Bacterial small subunit ribosomal RNA
Source: RNAcentral